GAUGAACGCUGGCGGCGUGCCUAAUACAUGCAAGUCGAGCGAACGGAUUAAGAGCUUGCUCUUAUGAAGUUAGCGGCGGACGGGUGAGUAACACGUGGGUAACCUGCCCAUAAGACUGGGAUAACUCCGGGAAACCGGGGCUAAUACCGGAUAACAUUUUGAACCGCAUGGUUCGAAAUUGAAAGGCGGCUUCGGCUGUCACUUAUGGAUGGACCCGCGUCGCAUUAGCUAGUUGGUGAGGUAACGGCUCACCAAGGCAACGAUGCGUAGACGAACUGGGAGGGUGAUCGGCCAAACUGGGACUGAGACACGGCCCAGACUCCUACGGGAGGCAGCAGUAGGGAAUCGUCCGCAAUGGACGAAAGUCUGACGGGGCAACGCCGCGUGAGUGAUGAAGGCUUUCGGGUCGUAAAACUCUGUUGUUAGGGAAGAACAAGUGCUAGUUGAAUAAGCUGACACCUUGACGGUACCUAACCAGAAAGCCACGGCUAACUACGUGCCAGCAGCCGCCGUAA
This 515-nucleotide ribosomal RNA is filed under the name uncultured bacterium. Its description in RNAcentral is "partial 16S ribosomal RNA". It matches the Rfam family "Bacterial small subunit ribosomal RNA", at positions 28 to 523 of the family's 1533-position model. The record is from RNAcentral.